This 428-nucleotide ribosomal RNA is filed under the name uncultured bacterium. RNAcentral describes it as "bacterial SSU rRNA". It matches the Rfam family "Bacterial small subunit ribosomal RNA", at positions 64 to 507 of the family's 1533-position model. The record is from RNAcentral.
GAACGAGAAAGCAGGAGCAAUCUUGUGAGUAAAGUGGCGACCGGGUGAGUAACACGUGACUAACCUGCCCUUGAGUGGGGGAUAACCUCGGGAAACCGGGGCUAAUACCGCAUAAUUUCACGAGGUGAAAUUCCUUGUGAUCAAAGGAGCAAUUCGCUGAAGGAGGGGGUCGCGGCUGAUUAGCUAGUUGGUGAGGUAACGGCCCACCAAGGCGAUGAUCAGUAGCCGGCCUGAGAGGGCGCACGGCCACACUGGAACUGAAACACGGUCCAGACUCCUACGGGAGGCAGCAGUGGGGAAUUUUGCGCAAUGGGGGAAACCCUGACGCAGCAACGCCGCGUGGAGGAUGAAGUCCCUUGGGAUGUAAACUCCUUUCGAUCGGGACGAUUAUGACGGUACCGGAAGAAGAAGCACCGGCUAACUCUGUG